RNAcentral lists this ribosomal RNA (301 nucleotides) under uncultured bacterium. Its description in RNAcentral is "partial 16S ribosomal RNA". It matches the Rfam family "Bacterial small subunit ribosomal RNA", at positions 509 to 807 of the family's 1533-position model. The record is from RNAcentral.
CAGUCGCCACGGUAAUACGAAGGGUGCAAGCGUUACCCGGAAUUACUGGGCGUAAAGCGUGCGUAGGUGGUGGUUUAAGUCCGUUGUGAAAGCCCUGGGCUCGACCUGGGAAUUGCAGUGGAUACUGGGCCACUAGAGUGUGGUAGAGGAUAGUGGAAUUUCCGGUGUAGCAGUGAAAUGCGUAGAGAUCGGAAGGAACAUCUGUGGCGAAGGCGACUAUCUGGGCCAACACUGACACUGAGACACGAAAGCGUGGGGAGCAAACAGGAUUAGAUACCCCCGUAGUCCCUGUCUCUUAUAC